CUUAGAGGUUAAGCCCGAUGAACCUGAAUAUCCCAUUAUGAAAAAUUCAUCAUUAUAACUUAUAAUUAUAAUAAUAUUAUUAUUAUAUGGUGAUAGUGUGCAUUUUUUUCAUAUAAGGACAUUGUGAUCUAUUAACAUAUAUACACAAAUAUUUAUCAAAAGAUCAUUAGCAAUAAGUUUACUUGAAUUGAUUUGCUUUUAUUAGCAUAUUAACAUAAAAUAAAUGCAAAUGAUUUGAUAAAGUGUUGAUAGAUUUAUUUAUAUAUAAUGCUUAAAUUUAAUAAACAAAAAAAUUUUACAAUAAUAUUAAAAUCUAUUGAUUUUUAUAUAUUCAUU
RNAcentral lists this ribosomal RNA (336 nucleotides) under Meracanthomyia kotiensis. RNAcentral's name for it is "partial 28S ribosomal RNA". Lineage: Eukaryota; Metazoa; Arthropoda; Insecta; Diptera; Tephritidae. The record is from RNAcentral.